This 861-nucleotide ribosomal RNA is filed under the name uncultured bacterium. RNAcentral describes it as "bacterial SSU rRNA". It matches the Rfam family "Bacterial small subunit ribosomal RNA", at positions 49 to 925 of the family's 1533-position model. The record is from RNAcentral.
UAACACAUGCAAGUCGAACGAGCGAGAGAGAGCUUGCUUUCUCGAGCGAGUGGCGAACGGGUGAGUAACGCGUGAGGAACCUGCCUCAAAGAGGGGGACAACAGUUGGAAACGACUGCUAAUGCCGCAUAAGCCCACGACCCGGCAUCGGGUAGAGGGAAAAGGAGCAAUCCGCUUUGAGAUGGCCUCGCGUCCGAUUAGCUAGUUGGUGAGGUAACGGCCACCAAGGCGACGAUCGGUAGCCGGACUGAGAGGUUGAACGGCCACAUUGGGACUGAGACACGGCCCAGACUCCUACGGGAGGCAGCAGUGGGGAAUAUUGCACAAUGGGGGAAACCCUGAUGCAGCGACGCCGCGUGGAGGAAGAAGGUCUUCGGAUUGUAAACUCCUGUUGUUGAGGAAGAUAAUGACGGUACUCAACAAGGAAGUGACGGCUAACUACGUGCCAGCAGCCGCGGUAAAACGUAGGUCACAAGCGUUGUCCGGAAUUACUGGGUGUAAAGGGAGCGCAGGCGGGAAGACAAGUUGGAAGUGAAAUCCAUGGGCUCAACCCAUGAACUGCUUUCAAAACUGUUUUUCCUGAGUAGUGCAGAGGUAGGCGGAAUUCCCGGUGUAGCGGUGGAAUGCGUAGAUAUCGGGAGGAACACCAGUGGCGAAGGCGGCCUACUGGGCACCAACUGACGCUGAGGCUCGAAAGUGUGGUAGCAAACAGGAUUAGAUACCCUGGUAGUCCACACUGUAAACGAUGAUUACUAGGUGUUGGAGGAUUGACCCCUUCAGUGCCGCAGUUAACACAAUAAGUAAUCCACCUGGGGAGUACGACCGCAAGGUUGCAACUCAAAUGAAUUGACGGCGCGGCGCG